AUACUUACCUGGCAUGGGAGAAACCACUAUCAUGAAGGUAGUUUUUCCAGGGUGAGGCUUAUUCACUGCUCUCUGGAUGUGUUGAGCCCUGCAAUUUCCCCAAAUGUGGGAAACUUGACUGCAGAAUUUGGGUCAUGGGGGAUUGCAUUCACACUCUCCAC
Small nuclear RNA from Sorex araneus (European shrew), 161 nucleotides. RefSeq annotates it as U1 spliceosomal RNA. Lineage: Eukaryota; Metazoa; Chordata; Mammalia; Eulipotyphla; Soricidae. The record is from RefSeq and is a predicted model, not a curated record. The transcript has a single exon.